GCUCAACCGAAGAAGUGCAUCGGAAACUGGGAAACUUGAGUGCAGAAGAGGACAGUGGAACUCCAUGUGUAGCGGUGAAAUGCGUAGAUAUAUGGAAGAACACCAGUGGCGAAGGCGGCUGUCUGGUCUGUAACUGACGCUGAGGCUCGAAAGUAUGGGUAGCAAACAGGAUUAGAUACCCUGGUAGUCCAUACCGUAAACGAUGAAUGCUAAGUGUUGGAGGGUUUCCGCCCUUCAGUGCUGCAGCUAACGCAUUAAGCAUUCCGCCUGGGGAGUACGGCCGCAAGGCUGAAACUCAAAGGAAUUGACGGGGGCCCGCACAAGCGGUGGAGCAUGUGGUUUAAUUCGAAGCUACGCGAAGAACCUUACCAGGUCUUGACAUACUAUGCAAAUCUAAGAGAUUAGACGUUCCCUUCGGGGACAUGGAUACAGGUGGUGCAUGGUUGUCGACAGCUCGUGUCGUGAGAUGUUGGGUUAAGUCCCGCAACGAGCGCAACCCUUAUUAUCAGUUGCCAGCAUUAAGUUGGGCACUCUGGUGAGACUGCCGGUGACAAACCGGAGGAAGGUGGGGAUGACGUCAAAUCAUCAUGCCCCUUAUGACCUGGGCUACACACGUGCUACAAUGGAUGGUACAACG
Molecule: ribosomal RNA, 637 nt
Filed under: uncultured bacterium
Lineage: Bacteria
Description: bacterial SSU rRNA
Rfam family: Bacterial small subunit ribosomal RNA
Source: RNAcentral